GAAGCUCGUUUCUAUAGAGGUAUCU
RNAcentral lists this microRNA (25 nucleotides) under Anopheles gambiae (African malaria mosquito). RNAcentral's name for it is "aga-miR-993". Its record names the gene aga-miR-993. Lineage: Eukaryota; Metazoa; Arthropoda; Insecta; Diptera; Culicidae. The record is from miRBase by way of RNAcentral.